CCUACGUGAUGCAGCAGUGAGGAAUAUUGGUCAAUGGACGCAAGCCUGAACCAGCCACGCCGCGUGCAGGAAGACGGCUCUAUGAGUUGUAAACUGCUUUUGUACGAGGGUAAACGCAGAUACGCGUAUCUGUCUGCAAGUAUUGUACGAAUAAGGAUCGGCUAACUCCGUGCCAGCAGCCGCGGUAAUACGGAGGAUUCAAGCGUUAUCCGGAUUUAUUGGGUUUAAAGGGUGCGUAGGCGGUCGGAUAAGUUAGAGGUGAAAGUCCGAGGCUCAACUUCGGAAUUGCCUCUGAUACUGUUCGUCUAGAGAGUAGUUGCGGUAGGCGGAAUGUAUGGUGUAGCGGUGAAAUGCUUAGAGAUCAUACAGAACACCGAUUGCGAAGGCAGCUUACCAAGCUACUUCUGACGUUGAGGCACGAAAGCGUGGGGAGCAAACAGGAUUAGAUACCCCUGUAGUC
RNAcentral lists this ribosomal RNA (460 nucleotides) under uncultured bacterium. RNAcentral describes it as "partial 16S ribosomal RNA". It matches the Rfam family "Bacterial small subunit ribosomal RNA", at positions 338 to 795 of the family's 1533-position model. The record is from RNAcentral.